CUACGGGAGGCAGCAGUGAGGAAUAUUGGGCAAUGGUCGCAAGACUGACCCAGCCAUGCCGCGUGCAGGAUGACGGUCCUAUGGAUUGUAAACUGCUUUUGUACAGGAAGAAACACUGGUACGUGUACCAGCUUGACGGUACUGUAAGAAUAAGGAUCGGCUAACUCCGUGCCAGCAGCCGCGGUAAUACGGAGGAUCCAAGCGUUAUCCGGAAUCAUUGGGUUUAAAGGGUCCGUAGGCGGUUUUAUAAGUCAGUGGUGAAAUCCGGCAGCUCAACUGUCGAACUGCCAUUGAUACUGUAGAACUUGAAUUACUUGGAAGUAACUAGAAUAUGUAGUGUAGCGGUGAAAUGCUUAGAGAUUACAUGGAAUACCAAUUGCGAAGGCAGGUUACUACGAGUAUAUUGACGCUGAUGGACGAAAGCGUGGGGAGCGAACAGGAUUAGAUACCCCAGUAGUCC
Molecule: ribosomal RNA, 460 nt
Filed under: uncultured bacterium
Lineage: Bacteria
Description: bacterial SSU rRNA
Rfam family: Bacterial small subunit ribosomal RNA
Source: RNAcentral